RNAcentral lists this non-coding RNA (238 nucleotides) under Bacteroides stercoris. Its description in RNAcentral is "Bacterial large subunit ribosomal RNA". It matches the Rfam family "Bacterial large subunit ribosomal RNA", at positions 1489 to 1715 of the family's 2925-position model. The record is from Rfam by way of RNAcentral. Lineage: Bacteria; Pseudomonadati; Bacteroidota; Bacteroidia; Bacteroidales; Bacteroidaceae.
CGCGGACUGACGGAAUAGUCCGUUAAAGGGUGUAGAUGUUGAUUCCUGCAGGCAAAUCCGCAGGAAGAGUCGAACCUGACAGUAUGGAGCGUCCUUCGGGACAAUCCAAUAGUGCAUGUAAUCAUACUCCCGAGAAAAUCCGCUAAACUUAAUCCUUGUGGUACCCGUACCGCAAACGGACACACGUAGUCGGGUUGAAUAUACUAAGGCGCUUGAGUGAUUCACGGUUAAGGAACUA